This 597-nucleotide ribosomal RNA is filed under the name Triticum aestivum (bread wheat). Its description in RNAcentral is "partial small subunit ribosomal RNA". The record is from RNAcentral. Lineage: Eukaryota; Viridiplantae; Streptophyta; Magnoliopsida; Poales; Poaceae.
AUGGUCAGAGUAGAUCCAGGCGAAUGCGUAUUAGAACUUGAUCAAUCAAGGAAAAUACCAAUCACAGACCAAGAAUUAAAUGAUGCAUUCGGUUUGCCACAAGGAAAUAGGAUCAUUCCUCCAGUCCAUUCAGAUCUAUCUGAAGUUUGCAUAGAGUUCAGCAGAUUGGCUUCAAGCAUUAGUACAAAAGGCGUGCAUAGUUUGAAGGCAACUGAAUUUAUAUUAUCAAAGCCAAUAGAUGAGAAUUCAUGCAAAGUGGAAUGUGAAUGUUUCAAGAUAGCAUUUGUAAUUUUCUCAGUCAGGCAUGUCCUAAACCCUUGUGUCAAGCACGACUACACCAGUGUUGAUUACUGGGCAGCACUUGUCGUCCCAUCAGAGAUGAAUUCAUACAAUUGGUGUAGGUUUGUCAAAGACAGUUUGAUGAAAGGCGUCAGAAAGAUCAAGUCCGACAUCGCCAACGACAACAACACAAUUCAUAUAGUUGGAUGUCACCUUCUUCUCCAGGUUUAUUUGCUCGACAUUUCUAUACAUCAUGUGUUUUUUUAUGUUGAUCUAACAUAUAUUCCACACAUAGGUAAUUGCUUUGGACAAGAUUGA